ACUGCGCGCCCUGUACGCACAUGGAGAAGGAAGGGACACGCGCGGAGAGAGCGCGGGUGUCAGAGCUCGAGCCUCGACGGCCCUGAAGUCAUAGUGUUUGUACAAAGUGGUGGCACCAGACCAGGGGGAGCCGAGAGCGAGAUUCCGAGGUGGGGGGAAUGGGGCUGCCCUAUAAGUGACCAAGUGAGACUCCCGAUAUUUAAUUCAGCUUUUUUCAGAAGGAAAAGAAAAAACAAUAAUGAGCCUCUGAGAUGCUCCUUCUGCAUUAACCAGCUAUCGACCUGGCUGCGUCGGACUGCGGGCAGCGAGAAAGAGGACAGGGAAAGGCCAGGCGGCUCUUAGGGACUCAGUCACGCCGGCGGAGGGUUGGGGGGGGGGCGCCCACAGCCCAGGCGGUGAACCUCCAGACCCAGACGUGGACCCAAGAACCUCGCAUAUUAGAUCCCUCCAGGAUCCCCAGGCCUCGAGCAGAAGCGGCCUCCUGGCUACCCUACUUUCCAAUUGAGAACAGCCCUGGUCUGUCCCGGCCAUCUGCGCGCCACGUCGAGACUCAGCGUCCCAGGCAGCCGCGUCCCAACGUGGCGCUGGUCCCCCAACUCGACAGGGCCAGUGGAGCCUGACUGUGGGUUGAACUCGAGGGUCCGAGGGCAGCUGAACCUUUUCCAGGGAUUUUUAAUCCAACAGAUUAAAUGGUCAGAGUGACACACUCGCGCAGGGAAGAAAAGCAGGUGCACAGAAGUAGAUUUGGGAAAGUCGCGCGCACGAACGCGCUUCACGCAGAAGCUUCUCCAUCAUCUUGCCUUCUUUCAACAUUCCCAGCGCACAAAGCGCUUUGGAGACUGACUGCAGGCCCUCUCAAUGCGGCCCAGGGAGCGGGGAGUGUUCGGAGAAGGUGUCUGUGCAUCGCACACGCUUGGCGCGCGUGCGCCGGAUGCGCUCCGGGAGCCGCUGCCCGACGUGUGCCCAGGGCCCGCGGCUCGCCAGGUUCUGGGGGCUGCGCCUCGCACUUUACAAGAGGGGAGUCACCAGGCCCGCUUCCUGCCCCCUCCUCGCCCAGCCUCACGG
RNAcentral lists this non-coding RNA (1065 nucleotides) under Pongo abelii (Sumatran orangutan). Lineage: Eukaryota; Metazoa; Chordata; Mammalia; Primates; Hominidae. The record is from RNAcentral.